AGCGAACGCUGGCGGCAGGCUUAACACAUGCAAGUCGAACGGGCACUUCGGUGCUAGUGGCCGACGGGUGAGUAACACGUGGGAACGUACCUUUCGGUUCGGAAUAAUCCAGGGAAACUUGGACUAAUACCGGAUACGCCCUUCGGGGGAAAGAUUCAUCGCCGAUAGAUCGGCCCGCGUCUGAUUAGCUAGUUGGUGAGGUAAUGGCUCACCAAGGCGACGAUCAGUAGCUGGUCUGAGAGGAUGAUCAGCCACAUUGGGACUGAGACACGGCCCAAACUCCUACGGGAGGCAGCAGUGGGGAAUAUUGGACAAUGGGCGCAAGCCUGAUCCAGCCAUGCCGCGUGAGUGAUGAAGGCCUUAGGGUUGUAAAGCUCUUUUGUCCGGGAAGAUAAUGACUGUACCGGAAGAAUAAGCCCCGGCUAACUUCGUG
Molecule: ribosomal RNA, 433 nt
Filed under: uncultured bacterium
Lineage: Bacteria
Description: partial 16S ribosomal RNA
Rfam family: Bacterial small subunit ribosomal RNA
Source: RNAcentral